This 497-nucleotide ribosomal RNA is filed under the name uncultured bacterium. RNAcentral's name for it is "partial 16S ribosomal RNA". It matches the Rfam family "Bacterial small subunit ribosomal RNA", at positions 28 to 507 of the family's 1533-position model. The record is from RNAcentral.
GAUGAACGCUGGCGGCGUGCCUAAUACAUGUAAGUCGAGCGAACGGACGAGAAGCUUGCUUCUCUGAUGUUAGCGGCGGGCGGGUGAGUAACACGUGGAUAACCUACCUAUAAGACUGGGAUAACUUCGGGAAACCGGAGCUAAUACCGGAUAAUAUUUUGAACCGCAUGGUUCAAAAGUGAAAGACGGUCUUGCUGUCACUUAUAGAUGGAUCCGCGCUGCAUUAGCUAGUUGGUAAGGUAACGGCUUACCAAGGCAACGAUGCAUAGCCGACCUGAGAGGGUGAUCGGCCACACUGGAACUGAGACACGGUCCAGACUCCUACGGGAGGCAGCAGUAGGGAAUCUUCCGCAAUGGGCGAAAGCCUGACGGAGCAACGCCGCGUGAGUGAUGAAGGUCUUCGGAUCGUAAAACCCUGUUAUUAGGGAAGAACAUAUGUGUAAGUAACUGUGCACAUCUUGACGGUACCUAAUCAGAAAGCCACGGCUAACUACGUG